CUUGCUAGGUGGAUUAGUGGCGCACGGGUGAGGAAUAUAUAGCUAACCUGCCCUUUAGAUGGGAACAACAGUUGGAAACGACUGCUAAUACCCAAUACUCCUUUUGAACAAAAGUUCAAUCGGGAAAUGUUUUUUCGCUAAAGGAUGGGGCUAUACGGUAUCAGCUUGUUGGUGAGGUAAGAGCUCACCAAGGCAAUGACGCCUAGCUGGUCUGAGAGGAUGAUCAGCCACACUGGAACUGAGACACGGUCCAGACUCCUACGGGAGGCAGCAGUGAGGAAUAUUGCACAAUGGGGGAAACCCUGAUGCAGCAACGCCGCGUGGAGGAUGACGCAUUUCGGUGUGUAAACUCCUUUUAUCAAGGAAGAAAUUUGACGGUACUUGAUGAAUAAGCACCGGCUAACUCCGUGCCAGCAGCCGC
RNAcentral lists this ribosomal RNA (421 nucleotides) under uncultured bacterium. Its description in RNAcentral is "bacterial SSU rRNA". It matches the Rfam family "Bacterial small subunit ribosomal RNA", at positions 79 to 518 of the family's 1533-position model. The record is from RNAcentral.